UUAGUUCUGUCCUGGGGGCUACUUCCACUGGAGAGGGACUUGGGGAGGUGACCAUACGGCCACUCCGUCCCCCACAGAGGGCCCGGCUCCUGGAGAAGUGGAUCCGCGUGGCAGAGGAGUGCCGGCUGCUCCGAAACUUCUCUUCAGUUUAUGCCGUGGUGUCAGCCCUGCAGUCCAGCCCCAUCCACAGGCUUCGGGCAGCCUGGGGGGAAGCAACCAGGGACAGCCUCAGAGUCUUUUCCAGCCUCUGCCAGAUUUUCUCCGAGGAGGAUAAUUAUUCCCAGAGUCGGGAGCUGCUCAUGCAGGAGGUGAAGCUGCAGUCUCCUCUGGAGCCACACUCCAAGAAGGCCCCGAGGUCUGGCUCCCGGGGUGGGGGUGUGGUCCCAUACCUUGGCACCUUCCUGAAGGACCUUGUGAUGCUGGAUGCAGCCUCCAAGGAUGAGUUGGAGAAUGGAUACAUCAAUUUUGACAAGCGGAGGAAGGUGAGCGGAGUGUCUGGGCUGGAUGCUGGACUUCCCUAUCCAUGUUCCAGGAAGGGGAGGGGGAAAAGUCAGGGGUCCCUGAGUUUUGGCUCCUGCAGUUUGAGGGCUCCUUCCCAGGAGUUUGCAGUCCUUUCUGAGUUGCGACGGCUCCAGAAUGAAUGUCGUGGCUAUAACCUCCAACCUGACCAUGAUAUCCAGAGGUGGCUACAGGGGCUCCGGCCACUGACAGAGGCUCAGAGCCAUCGUGUAUCCUGUGAGGUGGAGCCACCUGGUUCCAGUGACCCUCCUGCCCCACGGGUGCUUCGGCCAACAUUGGUCAUCUCGCAGUGGACAGAGUGAGAGAUUCACUGGCUGGGGGGUGGUUUCUUGGGACUUCCACUUUUCUCUGAUCCUCCCAAUCUCCUGCCACUGCAGGGUUUUGGGCUCUGUUGGGGUCCCUACCCCGCUUGUGUCCUGUGACCGGCCCAGUAUUGGGGGAGAUGAGGCGCCUACAACUCCUGCUCCUCUGCUGACUCGGCUGGCCCAGCACAUGAAGUGGCCAUCUGUCUCGUCACUAGACUCUGCCUUGGAAAGCAGUCCAUCCCUGCACAGUCCAGCUGACCCCAGCCACCUCUCCCCACCAGCCUCCUCCCCUAGGCCUUCUCGAGGUCACCGCCGCUCAGCCUCCUGUGGCUCCCCGCUGAGUGGGGGUGCAGAAGAGGCCUCCGGGGGGACUGGAUAUGGGGGAGGGGGAUCUGG
RNAcentral lists this small RNA (1220 nucleotides) under Pan troglodytes (chimpanzee). RNAcentral describes it as "retained intron". The record is from RNAcentral. Lineage: Eukaryota; Metazoa; Chordata; Mammalia; Primates; Hominidae.